This 462-nucleotide ribosomal RNA is filed under the name Triticum aestivum (bread wheat). RNAcentral's name for it is "partial small subunit ribosomal RNA". The record is from RNAcentral. Lineage: Eukaryota; Viridiplantae; Streptophyta; Magnoliopsida; Poales; Poaceae.
AUGGCCAACAGCAACCUCCCCCGCCGCAUCAUCAAGGAGACGCAGCGGCUGCUCAGCGAACCAGCUCCUGGGAUCAGUGCUUCACCAUCAGAGGAGAACAUGCGCUACUUCAAUGUCAUGAUCCUUGGCCCAACUCAGUCGCCAUAUGAAGGAGGAGUAUUCAAACUUGAGUUGUUUUUACCUGAAGAAUAUCCAAUGGCUCCGCCAAAGGUUCGCUUUCUCACAAAAAUUUACCAUCCAAACAUUGACAAGCUUGGGAGGAUAUGCCUUGAUAUCUUAAAGGACAAGUGGAGUCCUGCCCUUCAGAUCCGAACAGUUCUUUUGAGCAUUCAAGCACUCCUCAGCGCUCCAAAUCCUGACGAUCCGCUUGCUGACAAUGUGGCAAAGCACUGGAAGGCCAACGAAACAGAAGCUGUGGAAACAGCCAAAGAGUGGACCCGUGUCUACGCUAAUGAUGCAUGA